Molecule: transfer RNA, 70 nt
Filed under: Hypselosoma matsumurae
Lineage: Eukaryota; Metazoa; Arthropoda; Insecta; Hemiptera; Schizopteridae
Description: tRNA-Asn
Source: RNAcentral
UUAAUUGAAGCCAAAAUAGAGGCACUUUAUUGUUAAUAAAGAAAAUGAUUAAAAAUUUAAUCCUUUUAAA